RNAcentral lists this ribosomal RNA (1342 nucleotides) under uncultured bacterium. Its description in RNAcentral is "16S ribosomal RNA". It matches the Rfam family "Bacterial small subunit ribosomal RNA", at positions 28 to 1378 of the family's 1533-position model. The record is from RNAcentral.
GACGAACGCUGGCGGCGUGCUUAACACAUGCAAGUCGAACGGAAAGGCCCUGCUUUUGUGGGGUGCUCGAGUGGCGAACGGGUGAGUAACACGUGAGUAACCUGCCCUUGACUUUGGGAUAACUUCAGGAAACUGGGGCUAAUACCGGAUAGGAGCUCCUGCUGCAUGGUGGGGGUUGGAAAGUUUCGGCGGUUGGGGAUGGACUCGCGGCUUAUCAGCUUGUUGGUGGGGUAGUGGCUUACCAAGGCUUUGACGGGUAGCCGGCCUGAGAGGGUGACCGGCCACAUUGGGACUGAGAUACGGCCCAGACUCCUACGGGAGGCAGCAGUGGGGAAUAUUGCACAAUGGGCGGAAGCCUGAUGCAGCAACGCCGCGUGCGGGAUGACGGCCUUCGGGUUGUAAACCGCUUUCGCCUGUGACGAAGCGUGAGUGACGGUAAUGGGUAAAGAAGCACCGGCUAACUACGUGCCAGCAGCCGCGGUGAUACGUAGGGUGCGAGCGUUGUCCGGAUUUAUUGGGCGUAAAGGGCUCGUAGGUGGUUGAUCGCGUCGGAAGUGUAAUCUUGGGGCUUAACCCUGAGCGUGCUUUCGAUACGGGUUGACUUGAGGAAGUUAGGGAGAAUGGAAUCCCUGGUGGAGCGGCGGAAUGCGCAGAUAUCAGGAGGAACACCAGUGGCGAAGGCGGUUCUCUGGGCCUUUCCUGACGCUGAGGAGCGAAAGCGUGGGGAGCGAACAGGCUUAGAUACCCUGGUAGUCCACGCUGUAAACGGUGGGUACUAGGUGUGGGGUCCAUUCCACGGGUUCCGUGCCGUAGCUAACGCUUUAAGUACCCCGCCUGGGGAGUACGGCCGCAAGGCUAAAACUCAAAGGAAUUGACGGGGCCCCGCACAAGCGGCGGAGCAUGCGGAUUAAUUCGAUGCAACGCGUAGAACCUUACCUGGGUUUGACAUGGAUCGGGAGUGCUCAGAGAUGGGUGUGCCUCUUUUGGGGUCGGUUCACAGGUGGUGCAUGGCUGUCGUCAGCUCGUGUCGUGAGAUGUUGGGUUAAGUCCCGCAACGAGCGCAACCCUUGUUCACUGUUGCCAGCACGUUAUGGUGGGGACUCAGUGGAGACCGCCGGGGUCAACUCGGAGGAAGGUGGGGAUGACGUCAAGUCAUCAUGCCCCUUAUGUCCAGGGCUUCACGCAUGCUACAAUGGCUGGUACAGAGAGUGGCGAGCCUGUGAGGGUGAGCGAAUCUCGGAAAGCCGGUCUCAGUUCGGAUUGGGGUCUGCAACUCGACCUCAUGAAGUCGGAGUCGCUAGUAAUCGCAGAUCAGCAACGCUGCGGUGAAUACGUUCCCGGG